This 2047-nucleotide ribosomal RNA is filed under the name Chloroflexota bacterium. Its description in RNAcentral is "Chloroflexi bacterium partial 23S ribosomal RNA". It matches the Rfam family "Bacterial large subunit ribosomal RNA", at positions 1 to 1977 of the family's 2925-position model. Lineage: Bacteria; Bacillati; Chloroflexota. The record is from RNAcentral.
GGUCAAGUGACUACGGCGCACGGUGGAUGCCUUGGCACUUCGAGCCGAUGAAGGACGCGGUAUGACUGCGAUAAGCCAGGAGGAGCCGUCAAGCAGGCUGAUCCCUGGAUUUCCGAAUGGGGCAACCCGAUGGCGGUCAUGCGCCAUCACCCCAGGCUGAACACAUAGGCCUGGUGGAGGUAAGCGGGGGAAAUGAAACAUCUAAGUACCCCGAGGAGAAGAAACAAUUCCGGUAGUAGCGGCGAGCGAACCCGGAGCAGCCCAAACCGAUUGAGCCUAAUGGAGCCCUCUCCUCUGCUCAGCCGGUGUUGUAGGGCGUUGCAUUCGCACCGAGGGUGGUGCGACAGCAGUUACAAACUGCGCGGGUAGGCGAAGGUCCCUGGAACGGGCCGCCACAGACGGUGAGAGCCCGGUAGCCGACACCCGACGCAGCUGCUGGUAGCGUCCCUGAGUACCACGCGACACGGUGAAAGCGCGUGGGAAGCUGGGGAGCCCACUUCCCAAGGCUAAAUACUCGAAGUGACCGAUAGCGGACCAGUACCGUGAGGGAAAGGUGAAAAGAACCCCGGGAGGGGAGUGAAACAGUUCCUGAAACCGUGUGCUUUCAAGCAGUGAGAGGCCCGUAACCGGGCUGAUCGCGUGCCUAUUGAAGAAUGAACCGGUGAGUUACGUUUUGUGGCGAGGUUAAGGCAUUCUGUGCCGCAGCCGCAGCGAAAGCGAGUCUGAACAGGGCGAAGCGAGUCGCAAGACGUAGACCCGAAACCAGGUGAGCUACCCAUGGGCAGGGUGAAGCGGGAGUAAAGCCCCGUGGAGGCCCGAACCUUCUUCAGUUGCAAAUGGAUUGGAUGACCUGUGGGUAGAGGUGAAAUGCCAAGCGAACCUGGCGAUAGCUGGUUCUCCCCGAAAUGCCUUUAGGGGCAGCGUUGUCGGAAACGACCGUGGAGGUAGGGCUCUGACUGGGUACGGGGGCGGAAAGCCUACCAACCCCUAUCAAACCGCGAAUGCCACGGCCGAACCGACGGCAGUGAGACUGUGGGGGAUAAGCUUCAUGGUCAAAAGGGAAACAGCCCAGACCGCCGGCUAAGGUCCCGAAAUUUCCGCUUAGUGGGAAAGGAAGUCCAGUCGCGCAGACAACCAGGAGGUUGGCUUAGAAGCAGCCAUCCUUGAAAGAGUGCGUAAUAGCUCACUGGUCGAGUGAUUGGGCGCCGACAAUUCAACGGGGCUCAAGCGGAGUACCGAAGCCGCGGAUCUGGUCUCAGCUUGCUGAGAUCAGGUGGUAGGGGAGCGUUCCGUUCAGCAGUGAAGGCGGACCCGCGAGGGCCGCUGGAGCGGACGGAAGUGAGAAUGCCGGUAUGAGUAGCGAAAGGCGUGUGAGAACCACGCCCACCGAAUACCUCAGGGUUCCUACGGCAGGGCAAUCCGCGUAGGGUUAGGCGGGCCUAAGCCGAGGCCGAAAGGCGUAGGCGAUGGACAGACGGUUCAUAUUCCGUCCCCGCUGAGUGUGUGCCUGAGCGACAGGGGCGACCCGGGAAGAUAGCGUGAGCGGGCCUAAUGGACAUGGUCCGUCGCGCCGCGUACGCGUCGAGCGGGGUUCAAAGACCGCUCGGUUAAGCAGAGGCGGCGCGGAAGCGGCGACGUCAGUCAAAGCGACUCGUGUGACACCCUCGGCCAGAAAACCCUCGGUCGCGAAUACAUUCAGCGCCCGUACCGCACACCGACACAGGUAGGUGAGGGUAAGUACCUCCAGGUGGACGAGUGAUUCCUCGCUAAGGAACUCGGCAAAAUAGUUCCGUAACUUCGGGAGAAGGAACGCCUCGCGGCUGGUCCCCGACUCGCUCGGGCGAACGGCCGGAGGCCGCAGCGAGCAGGCCCAGGCGACUGUUUAACAAAAACACAGGUCUCUGCGAACGCGAAAGCGGACGUAUAGGGGCUGACGCCUGCCCAGUGCUGGAAGGUUAAGGGGAGGGCUUCACGGCUCGAACCGAAGCCCCAGUGAACGGCGGCCGUAACUAUAACGGUCCUAAGGUAGCGAAAUUCCUUGUCGGGU